RNAcentral lists this ribosomal RNA (200 nucleotides) under Escherichia coli. Its description in RNAcentral is "partial 16S ribosomal RNA". It matches the Rfam family "Bacterial small subunit ribosomal RNA", at positions 1 to 208 of the family's 1533-position model. Lineage: Bacteria; Pseudomonadati; Pseudomonadota; Gammaproteobacteria; Enterobacterales; Enterobacteriaceae. The record is from RNAcentral. RNAcentral also lists the same sequence under 1 other name.
AAAUUGAAGAGUUUGAUCAUGGCUCAGAUUGAACGCUGGCGGCAGGCCUAACACAUGCAAGUCGAACGGUAACAGGAAACAGCUUGCUGUUUCGCUGACGAGUGGCGGACGGGUGAGUAAUGUCUGGGAAACUGCCUGAUGGAGGGGGAUAACUACUGGAAACGGUAGCUAAUACCGCAUAACGUCGCAAGACCAAAGAG